UCAGAACGAACGCUGGCGGCGCGCUUAAUACAUGCAAGUCGUGCGAGAAAGUCCUUCGGGGAUGAGUAGAGCGGCGAAUGGGUGAGUAACACGUAAGCAACCUGCCUUUAAGUCUGGGAUAACCCUGCCAACGCGGGGCUAAUACCGGGUGUGGUCCUGGCAUCGCAUGGUGUCGGGAUUAAAGGUGACCUCUACUUGUAAGUUACCGCUUAAAGAGGGGCUUGCGGACCAUUAGCUUGUUGGUGAGGUAACGGCUCACCAAGGCUACGAUGGUUAGCCGACCUAAGAGGGUGAUCGGCCACAUUGGGACUGAGAUACGGCCCAGACUCCUACGGGAGGCAGCAGUAGGGAAUUUUGCGCAAUGGACGAAAGUCUGACGCAGCGACGCCGCGUGAGCGAUGAAGGCCUUCGGGUUGUAAAGCUCUGUUGAGUGGGAAGAAAACUUCCGGUGCGAAUAGUAUCGGGACUUGACGGUACCACUCGAGGAAGCCCCGGCUAACUACGUGCCAGCAGCCGCGGUAAUACGUAGGGGGCUAGCGUUGUUCGGAAUUACUGGGCGUAAAGGGAGUGUAGGCGGGGAGGUAAGUUAGGAGUUCAAUUCACGGGCUUAACCCGCGGCUAGCUCUUAAUACUGCUUCUCUUGAGUAUGGGAGAGGGCGAUGGAAUUCCAGGUGUAGCGGUGGAAUGCGUAGAUAUCUGGAAGAACACCAGUUGCGAAGGCGGUCGCCUGGCCCAAUACUGACGCUGAGGCUCGAAAGCUAGGGGAGCGAACAGGAUUAGAUACCCUGGUAGUCCUAGCCGUAAACGAUGGAUACUAGUUGCUGGAAGAGUCAAUCCUUUCAGUGACGAAGUUAACGCAUUAAGUAUCCCGCCUGGGGAGUACGCUCGCAAGGGUGAAACUCAAAGGAAUUGACGGGGGCCCGCACAAGCGGUGGAGCAUGUGCUUUAAUUCGAUGCAACGCGAAGAACCUUACCUGGGUUUGACAUGGGAGUGAAAACCGCCAGAGAUGGUGGUCCUUCCGCAAGGAACACUCUACACAGGUGCUGCAUGGUUGUCGUCAGCUCGUGUCGUGAGAUGUUGGGUUAAGUCCCGCAACGAGCGCAACCCUUGUCCUUAGUUGCCAUCAGGUAAAGCUGGGAACUCUAAGGAGACUGC
This 1156-nucleotide ribosomal RNA is filed under the name uncultured organism. RNAcentral's name for it is "bacterial SSU rRNA". It matches the Rfam family "Bacterial small subunit ribosomal RNA", at positions 24 to 1152 of the family's 1533-position model. The record is from RNAcentral.